CGCAGCCCGGUUGCCAUAGCGCUGCCAGCCUUGGCUAUCAAGUAGCAGAGAGCAGUCAUUACUCAACGGAAAGAAAUAAAAAAAAAAAAAAAAAAAAAAAAGAAAAACAAACCCCAACCCCACCAAAAUCCAGGGCUGCACGAGCCAAUCAACAUUUUCUUCCCUUUUUAAUUCACGCAGCCAGCCUGCGGGAGCAUCCCUGCGCGCAUCCCAGCCCGGCCGGCCGCUGCGCUGUUUCCUUGCGGGAGUUUUCGGCUCAGCCUCUCCCUGCGCUGAGCAGGACGGACUGCAGUGCUGACUCACGGACACCUGUGACGCUGGCCGUGGCAGCGGCAGAUGGCGGGGGAUGUGGCUCCCGGGAAGCUUUUUGGCGUACCUGUGCGGCUGGAGCCGCCCCCACCCGCGACUGCGACUCCAGGUGCUCUGCGGAUCGCAGCGCCGUGCCUUAGCAACCAGAAAACACAAGACAUCCACUGAAAUCCACAUCAACAGAUUCCUUUUGAAGUCUACAGUGUUCACAUUCUGCACUGCCAGUCUCCUUGUACCUGCUUUGCACUUCUGAUUUCUUUCUGGUUUCCUAACCUUCUCUCCCUACACCCACCAACCUAUUCUCAAGGCUUUUGUUGAAAAGAAGUCCCCGCCUUUGUAAAAACUGUCAAACUGCAAUUCUGCAUCUCCAUAUGGUUUCUUCACAGGGACAUGUUUUUCAGAGGAUCAUGGUAUGUUCACUGUUAUGCUUGUGUUCACUGGUAGAGAUCCAGAAGACAAGAGAGUUCCAGCAUCUGGAUUUCAGCUUGUUUGGCAUGCACUGCCUUUGGCAAUGGGAAGGCAAAGCUGCCAUCUUCAGCAAUUUGGAGGAAGGUGUCUCUGAGCCACCUGGAGUGCUGCAUGCAUCACCCUGCUGAGUGAUGUCACUAAACAAUCCUCCUUGUGCUUGACCAUGCAUGACCUGGGAUCCCCUGCACUCUUUUUAUUCCCCAGUUCUCUGCUGUGUGUGCAUGUCUCAGAAGCCAUGCUCCACAGAAAUGGUGUGGAAGCCACCUGGCAAUCCUCCUCUUGCAGGUGGUACAGGACCCCCUCCACCUCUCACUAAGUCUUCUUUUAUAUUUCCCAUUGCCUUCAUGCCCCUGAGAAAAUCUUCCUGUACUGGCAUCUGUUGUACUGACUGCAGUUGAAACCUGGUGCAAAGUAAAAGUUGGAUACUCACAGAAAGUGUCACCAAUGUCUCUUGCUGAUUAAAAUCCAUAAGCAUAACUUAAUAAUGUUUCAGUAUUUCAAAUGUAUUUUAAUUCUUGUCUACAGAUCCUUCAAGUCUGGAACUCCACAGAGUGUUAAACUUUUUUCUUGUUUCCUGUAAAUAAAUCUGACUGCAAAAAGAGUUUAAUUCCCACAUUACAUGUAAGGCAGAAAACCUCAACAUUGUCUUAUGUAAACUCAUGAAUGACAGCAGCUAUUUAAAUCUAUUUGAUCAUUCAGCCUUUCAAGUCAUCUCCUUAACAAGAUAUAAAAGUUUCAGUGGGAUGUUAAAAUGUUGAAUGUAUGUGGGAGGGAUCUACACUUUACAAUGCUGGAGACCAGGAUAUUGUGUUGUUCACAGUGCAUGUGUAAAAAGAAAGGAAAUGCUUUCUUAUGGUGCUUACUUUUAUGGUUUCUUACUAAAUGCUUUCUUACAGCUCAUAAGGUAUUGAUUAAAAAAAACAGAGGACUUAAGAUACUUCACUGUAAGUAUCAUGUUCAAUUCAUGUAUCUUGGAUAACGGACUUGUAGCUCAAUUUUGGAUGCCUGUUGAAUAACCAUUCCCAAAAUAAGUUUUUUAAGAAGUUAAGGGGUAGAGGUCUUCAGAGACACUCAUCUCUUUUGCUUUUUAGUUACCUUGGUGAACCAGCCUACAUAAAAUAAGUGUUUAAAUGCUAAAAUGUAGCAUUAUUUUUGUAGGCAGAGUUGCAGAUUCACUAACCACACUGCUGAUUUUUUUUUUCAGCAAUGCAAUUCCUUAAACUCUGAUUGCUGUAAUCUGAAAUAAUAAUGCAGUAUGCUGCUUAUUGUAUCUUUCAUGUAGAGGUUCCUACUUGCAGUCUACAUUUGUUUAAUGGAGAAGCUCAAAAGGUAACACACUGCUCCUGCUGAUCAACAACAUAAAUGAGCUGUUUUCUCUCCUGGCUUAUUCAGUGUAUGCAAAUAUCUCUU
Molecule: long non-coding RNA, 2187 nt
Organism: Passer domesticus (house sparrow)
Lineage: Eukaryota; Metazoa; Chordata; Aves; Passeriformes; Passeridae
Exons: 3
Source: RefSeq, a predicted model, not a curated record